Molecule: small RNA, 106 nt
Filed under: Macaca nemestrina (pig-tailed macaque)
Lineage: Eukaryota; Metazoa; Chordata; Mammalia; Primates; Cercopithecidae
Description: Y RNA (ENSMNEG00000023552.1)
Source: RNAcentral
GGCCUCCCAAAGUGCUGGGAUUACAGGCUUGAGCCACCGCGCCCGGCUAGUUGCAGAUUUCUUUGUUUCUUUCUCCACUCCCACUGACUCACUUGACUGGCCUAAA